This 526-nucleotide ribosomal RNA is filed under the name uncultured bacterium. RNAcentral's name for it is "bacterial SSU rRNA". It matches the Rfam family "Bacterial small subunit ribosomal RNA", at positions 19 to 518 of the family's 1533-position model. The record is from RNAcentral.
AUGGCUCAGGACAACGCUGGCGGCGUGCCUAAUACAUGCAAGUCGAACGGUCUUUCUAUGGAAGCUUGCUUCCACUGAGAAGAUAGUGGCGAACGGGUGAGUAACACGUGGGUAACCUGCCCAUAAGAGGGGGGAUAACAUCCGGAAACGGGUGCUAAUACCGCAUAGUUUUCUUGAUCGCAUGAUCGGGAAAGGAAAGACGGCCUUUGUGCUGUCGCUUAUGGAUGGACCCGCGGCGUAUUAGUUAGUUGGUGAGGUAACGGCUCACCAAGACGAUGAUACGUAGCCGACCUGAGAGGUGAUCGGCCACAUUGGGACUGAGACACGGCCCAAACUCCUACGGGAGGCAGCAGUAGGGAAUCUUCCGCAAUGGACGAAAGUCUGACGGAGCAACGCCGCGUGAGUGAAGAAAAGGUUUUCGGAUCGUAAAACUCUGUUGUCAGAGAAGAACAAGUUGGAGAGUAACUGCUCCAGCCUUGACGGUAUCUGACCAGAAAGCCACGGCUAACUACGUGCCAGCCGCGGC